UGGCGGGGGAGCACCACAAGGGGUGCGGCGUGCGAUUUAAUCUAACUUUACACAGAGAAUCUCACCAGCGGCGACGGCAAAAUGAAGGUCAGUCUGAAGGGCUUACCUGAUGAGCCGAGAGGUAUUGCAUGGCCGACGUCAGCUCGUGCCGUAAGGUGUCCUCUUAAGUGAGGUAACGAGCGAGACCUGCGUCUUUAAUUGCCAGCCGGCUUUACGAAGCGACGGGGCACAUUAGAGAGACUGCCUUGGAAACAAGGAGGAAGGUGCAGGCCACGUUAGGUCUGUAUGGUCCGAAUCUGCUGGGCAAUACGCGCGCAACAAUGGUUAAGACAAUGGGCUGCGACACCGAAAGGUGGAGCUAAACCUCGAAACUUAAUCGUAGUCUAGAUCGGGGAUUGUAACCCAUCCCCGUGACAUCGGAAUCCCUAGUAAUCGGGUGUUAUCAGCGCCCGGUGAAUAUGUCCCUGCUCCUUGCACACACCGCCCGUCAAACCAAUCGAGUGGGGUCUUGGUGAGUCUUAUCUUUU
This 527-nucleotide ribosomal RNA is filed under the name marine metagenome. RNAcentral's name for it is "bacterial SSU rRNA". It matches the Rfam family "Archaeal small subunit ribosomal RNA", at positions 866 to 1392 of the family's 1478-position model. The record is from RNAcentral.